GCACCGAUAGUUUAGUGGUAGAAUUGAAGCUUCCCAUCAUUGAAACAAUGAAUAGUCUGCUUCAGGCACGGGUUCGAUUCCCGUUCGGUGCA
Molecule: non-coding RNA, 92 nt
Organism: Periconia macrospinosa
Lineage: Eukaryota; Fungi; Ascomycota; Dothideomycetes; Pleosporales; Periconiaceae
Source: the annotation of a GenBank genome assembly